RNAcentral lists this ribosomal RNA (497 nucleotides) under uncultured bacterium. Its description in RNAcentral is "partial 16S ribosomal RNA". It matches the Rfam family "Bacterial small subunit ribosomal RNA", at positions 28 to 507 of the family's 1533-position model. The record is from RNAcentral.
GAUGAACGCUGGCGGCGUGCCUAAUACAUGCAAGUCGAGCGAACAGACGAGGAGCUUGCUCCUCUGACGUUAGCGGCGGACGGGUGAGUAACACGUGGAUAACCUUCCUAUAAGACUGGGAUAACUUCGGGAAACCGGAGCUAAUACCGGAUAAUAUAUUGAACCGCAUGGUUCAAUAGUGAAAGACGGUUUUGCUGUCACUUAUAGAUGGAUCCGCGCCGCAUUAGCUAGUUGGUAAGGUAACGGCUUACCAAGGCAACGAUGCGUAGCCGACCUGAGAGGGUGAUCGGCCACACUGGAACUGAGACACGGUCCAGACUCCUACGGGAGGCAGCAGUAGGGAAUCUUCCGCAAUGGGCGAAAGCCUGACGGAGCAACGCCGCGUGAGUGAUGAAGGUCUUCGGAUCGUAAAACUCUGUUAUUAGGGAAGAGCAAAUGUGUAAGUAACUAUGCACGUCUUGACGGUACCUAAUCAGAAAGCCACGGCUAACUACGUG